AGAUAGAGGAGUUAGAGGAGAGGAAGGAGAUAGAGGUGUCAGAGUAGAGAGGAAUUAGAGGAGUUAGUGGAGAGGAGAUAGAGGAUUUAGAGGAGAGGAGAUAGAGGAGCGGUGUUAGAGGAGAGGAGAUAGAGGAGUUAGAAGAGAGGAGAUAGAUGAGAGGAGACAGAGGAGAGGAGUUAGAGGAGAGGAGGUAGAGGAGAGGAGUUAGAGGAGAGGAGGUAGAGGAGAGGAGUUAGAGGAGAGGUGUUAGAGGAGAGGAGAUAGAGGAGAGGAGUUAGAGGAGAGAGGUGUCAGAGGAGAGAGGAAUUAGAGGAGAUAGAGGAGUUAGAGGAGAGGAGAGGAGAUAGAGGAGUUAGAGGAGAGGAGUUAGAGAAAUUAGAGGAGUUAGUGGAGAGGAGAUAGAUGAGAGGAGAUAGAGGAAUUAGAGGAGUUAGUGGAGAGGAGAUAGAGGAGUUAGUGGAGAGGAGAUAAAGGAGUUAGAGGAGAGAAGAUAGAGGAAUUAGAGGAGUUAGUGGAGAGGAGAUAGGGGAGAGGAGUUAGAGGAGAUAUAGGAGUUAGAGGAGAGGAGUUAGAGAGGAGAUAUAUGAGUUAGAGGAGAUAGAGGGGAGGAGUUAGAGGAGAGGAGUUAGAGGAGUUAGUUGAGUUAGAGGAGAGGAGAUAGAGGAAUUAGAGGAGUUAGUGGAGAGGAGAUAGAGGAGUUCGUGGAGAGGAGAUAAAGGAGUUAGAGGAGAGGAGAUAGAGGUGUGAGAGGAGAGAGGAGUUAGAGGAGAGGAGUUAGAGAUAGAGGAGAGGAGAUAGAGUAGAGGAUAUAGAUGAGAGGAGAUAGAGGUGUCAGAGGAG
Molecule: long non-coding RNA, 843 nt
Organism: Oncorhynchus tshawytscha (Chinook salmon)
Lineage: Eukaryota; Metazoa; Chordata; Actinopteri; Salmoniformes; Salmonidae
Source: Ensembl